CAAGUGCUGACAAGACUCCUUGGGGUGACCUUAGGCAAGUCAUCCUAUCCAGCUCUUGCAGCAGCAUGAAAAGGGAAGGAUAAUUACACACCCGCAGCCUCCCUGAGACAGCAAAAGGGUUGGCUGGUUUUUAGGGGACACUGAAAGGCAGUGAAAGGGACCACAAAGUACCUAAGUAGAUAUCUCUAUCUACUCCACACCUCUACUAGGGGAAAUGAUGCAUUCUCCUUCACUUACCACACAAGUUAUUGCACAAGUCCUUCAAUAAAAAUCUCCCAAUGGAUCCUUUAUGGAUAGGUAAUAAGAAUGACAGAAAAGCAGGAUCUGCAUCCCCCAAAAUACAGUAAUUUAUGCUUCCCCAAGGCAUGCCUACACUCAAUUUGAAAACCACUAAGCCAUACCAACAACCCUGUGGUUACCUCUGCUCAGCCUCUCCAGCAAAAUUAGCAACAAUGAAGAUUGUUAAAUUCUUAUGGCCUGGAGACUUCAAGGAAGAAAGCAACAAAGAAUUGACUCCGCAUCCAAAUACUGGCUCAUUCUUCGUGUUGAUAUAAUUAUGAAGUUUCAGUCAUUGCAAAGCUGUUCACACUGCUUUCUCAACCACAUGCAUUGCAAAAUGUAUGCUAACUGCAGUUUUUCCAUUACAAAACUAGCUGGUGAAGUCACUGUUCUAUUUCCAGCUCAGCGCUGGCACUGUGCAGAUGCUCACUGCUUAGUAAAUAGACAUCUUUAUAUAUACACACAUGCAUAUAUUUUUUUUUCUAAACCUGCUGAAUAAAAAGCUUGAAGCUUUAGAUAUCUUUUCUUCCAAGUCAUUUUAAA
Long non-coding RNA from Gallus gallus (chicken), 822 nucleotides. RefSeq lists it as uncharacterized. The transcript has 4 exons. The record is from RefSeq and is a predicted model, not a curated record. Lineage: Eukaryota; Metazoa; Chordata; Aves; Galliformes; Phasianidae.